AGAAGAGUCUGUUGAGUGCCUCAGCAUUGGUGAGCACUGGUGUAAGAUUUGACUUUUGGAUGUCCAUUAGCACUGAGCGUGCUCUGCUAAUUCUCCUACAUUCUGCCCGUACAGCUGCAAGUUGUUCGGGCUCCAGGACUGCGACCCCUUUCCGUGCCAGUCAGGAACCAGAGGAGGAAGGGAGGGAGCCCCAGAGGAGCAAGGUAUGCUUGACUCUUCAGCUUUCAGCAAGGUCUGGAGGAAGAAAGCAAGAUGCUGUAAACUGAAACUAGAAACAGCAAAGUGAAAACACACACACACACACAUCAUAUAUAUAUAUAUAUAAAAAUACAUCAAAUACAUAUACAAGUUUCUAAAAGGUUUCAAUCAUUUUAAAAUUGCACAUGAUUGCUCUCCAGCUCCCCAAAACGCUUUCAUCUAUGAGCAGAAAAAAGUGUAGCUUUCUCAAGUUUUAAAAGCAUUGUUGGGGCAUGUCUAACAGAUUUGUCUAACUCUGUAUGUCUUGAUAUAUGCAGCGUGGUUGAUUGUAUUCUCCUUAGCAUAGACCUUGAAACUG
RNAcentral lists this long non-coding RNA (556 nucleotides) under Apteryx owenii (little spotted kiwi). Its description in RNAcentral is "lncRNA (ENSAOWG00000018364.1)". The record is from RNAcentral. Lineage: Eukaryota; Metazoa; Chordata; Aves; Apterygiformes; Apterygidae.